UACGGAGGGGACUAGCGUUGUUCGGAAUUACUGGGCGUAAAGCGCACGUAGGCGGAUUUGUAAGUCAGGGGUGAAAUCCCGGGGCUCAACCUCGGAACUGCCUUUGAUACUGCAAAUCUCGAGUCCGGAAGAGGUGAGUGGAAUUCCUAGUGUAGAGGUGAAAUUCGUAGAUAUUAGGAAGAACACCAGUGGCGAAGGCGGCAUCCUGGACCGACACUGACGCUGAGGAGCGAAAGCCAGGGGAGCAAACGGG
This 253-nucleotide ribosomal RNA is filed under the name uncultured bacterium. RNAcentral's name for it is "partial 16S ribosomal RNA". It matches the Rfam family "Bacterial small subunit ribosomal RNA", at positions 524 to 776 of the family's 1533-position model. The record is from RNAcentral.